GAUGAACGCUGGCGGCGUGCCUAAUACAUGCAAGUCGAGCGAAAAGACGAGGAGCUUGCUCCUCUGACGUUAGCGGCGGACGGGUGAGUAACACGUGGAUAACCUACCUAUAAGACUGGGAUAAAUUCGGGAAAACGGAGCUAAUACCGGAUAAUAUAUUGAACCGCAUGGUUCAAUAGUGUAAGACGGUUUUGCUGUCACUUAUAGAUGGAUCCGCGCCGCAUUAGCUAGUUGGUAAGGUAACGGCUUACCAAGGCAACGAUGCGUAGCCGACCUGAGAGGGUGAUCGGCCACACUGGAACUGAGACACGGUCCAGACUCCUACGGGAGGCAGCAGUAGGGAAUCUUCCGCAAUGGGCGAAAGCCUGACGGAGCAACGCCGCGUGAGUGAUGAAGGUCUUCGGAUCGUAAAGCUCUGUUAUUAGGGAAGAACAAAUGUGUAAGUAACUAUGCACGUCUUGACGGUACCUAAACAGAAAGCCACGGCUAACUACGUG
RNAcentral lists this ribosomal RNA (497 nucleotides) under uncultured bacterium. RNAcentral describes it as "partial 16S ribosomal RNA". It matches the Rfam family "Bacterial small subunit ribosomal RNA", at positions 28 to 507 of the family's 1533-position model. The record is from RNAcentral.